RNAcentral lists this ribosomal RNA (479 nucleotides) under uncultured bacterium. Its description in RNAcentral is "partial 16S ribosomal RNA". It matches the Rfam family "Bacterial small subunit ribosomal RNA", at positions 28 to 507 of the family's 1533-position model. The record is from RNAcentral.
GAUGAACGCUAGCGGGAGGCCUAACACAUGCAAGCCGAGCGGUAGAGUCUCUUCGGAGACUUGAGAGCGGCGCACGGGUGCGGAACACGUGUGCAACCUGCCUUUAUCUGGGGGAUAGCCUUUCGAUAGGAAGAUUAAUACCCCAUAAUAUACUGGAUGGCAUCAUCUGGUAUUGAAAACUCCGGUGGAUAGAGAUGGGCACGCGCAAGAUUAGAUAGUUGGUGAGGUAACGGCUCACCAAGUCAGCGAUCUUUAGGGGGCCUGAGAGGGUGAUCCCCCACACUGGUACUGAGACACGGACCAGACUCCUGCGGGAGGCAGCAGUGAGGAAUAUUGGACAAUGGGUGAGAGCCUGAUCCAGCCAUCCCGCGUGAAGGACGACGGCCCUAUGGAUUGUAAACUUCUUUUGUAUAGGGAUAAACCUAGAUACGUGUAUCUAGCUGAAGGUACUAUACGAAUAAGCACCGGCUAACUCCGUG